This 367-nucleotide RNase P RNA is filed under the name Spirochaetaceae bacterium. Its description in RNAcentral is "RNase P RNA component class A". It matches the Rfam family "Bacterial RNase P class A". From Rfam's summary of the family: Ribonuclease P (RNase P) is a ubiquitous endoribonuclease, found in archaea, bacteria and eukarya as well as chloroplasts and mitochondria. Lineage: Bacteria; Pseudomonadati; Spirochaetota; Spirochaetia; Spirochaetales; Spirochaetaceae. The record is from RNAcentral.
AACGAUGAGCCGGCCGCCGCGCCCCGUUUUUGCGGGUGUGAGGAAAGUCCGGGCUCCGCAGGGCACGAUGCCGGGUAACGCCCGGGCAGCGCCGGUUUAGUCUGGCGUUGACAGCAGCGCAACAGAAAACAAACCGCCGGCUUCUGCCGGUAAGGGUGAAACGGAGGGGUAAGAGCCCACCGCAUAGACGGCAACGGCUAUGGCAUGGCAAGCCUCAUCGGGAGCAAAGUUAAACAGCGGCUGGAUUGCCCGUCCUUAGGCCGCGGGUAGACUGCAAAGACCCCGUUUGCAAAUUCGGGGCAAGAUAGAUGGCGGCAGGGCGCGUUUCCCGCGUCAACAGAAUCCGGCUUAUGGCUCAUCGUUUUUA